This is a non-coding RNA of Phytophthora infestans T30-4, 73 nucleotides long. Lineage: Eukaryota; Oomycota; Peronosporomycetes; Peronosporales; Peronosporaceae. The record is from the annotation of a RefSeq genome assembly.
UCUCCUAUAGCUCAGUUGGUAAAGCGUGCGGCUGGUAACCUCAAGGGCCCUGGGUCCAACCCCACUGGGAAAG